AUGCGCAGCCCUCGGGCCGGCCCGGGCGCACCUUUUCUGUCUCCUGCCACAUUGUGAGCGCUCCGCCGCCCAGAUAACCGCCGGCUCCCCGCGCCGCCCCCGCCUUCUCCCACUCCGCCCACUGCCGGGAGCCCAGGGGAUGAUGCAGCAAGAAGACCCACACCAGAUGAGGGCGCCUUGAUAUUGGAUUUCCCAGCCUCCAGAACUAAGCCUGGGACUUGCCUCUGUGAUCUGGUGCUUUGGAGGGCCUUGGGCCUCAGGGCUAGCAAGGUCCCUUUCUGGAGAUUCCAGUUCCUCUGCCCGCCCUCCUUUACCUCUUUCUCCUCACACAUCUGUCUGAGGGAUGGGGAUGAGGGCUGCCAACCAAUGUUACCACUUGACAGACCACAAGAGGGCUGGUUCCAGUGCCUCCCUUGUUCAGCUGCUGACACUGCAGCUUGGCAGUCAUUGAAGGCAAUAUUUAGCUCCUACAUCUGACCUGAUUGGAAGAUCAGGCUUCUGUCGUCCUGGUUUCCUGGCCUUGGAUAGUUCUUCACUAACUUUUAUUCAUUAAGGCAGUGGGCAGAAAGCAGCAGAACCCUGUUUUUUCUUUUUUUGGGGUUUUUGUUGUUGUUGUUGUUGUUGUUUUGUUUUUUUUUGAAACAGGGUCUCCCUCUGUCACCCAUGCUGGAGUGCAGAGGUUCUGUCAUAACUCACUAUAGCCUCGACCUCCUGGGCUCAAGCAAUCUUCCCACCUCAGCCUCCUGAGUAGCUAGGGACCACAGGUGCAUGCCACUAUGCCUAACUAAUUUUUGUAUUUUUUUGUAGAGAUGGGGUUUUGCCAUGUUGCCCAUGCUGGUUUUGAACUCUAGAACUCAAGCAAUCAGCUGGCCUCAGCCUCCCAAAGUACUGAGAUUACAGGUGUGAGCCACUGUGCCUGGCCAGAACCUGUUUUUUGUUUGUUUGUUUUUGUUUUGUUUGUUUGAGGCGGAGUUUUGCUCUUGUUGCCCAGGCUGGAAUGCAAUGGCGCGAUCUCGGCUCACCGCAACCUCUGCCUCCUGGAUUCAAACAAUUCUCCUGCCUCAGCCUCCCAACCAGCUGGGAUUACAGGCAUGCGCCACCACGCCCAGCUAAUUUUGUAUUUUUAGUAGAGAUGGGAUUUCACCAUGUAGGUCAGGCUGGUCUCGAACUCCCAACCUCAGGUGAUCUGCCCGCCUCGGCCUCCCCAAGUGCUGGGAUUACAGACGUGAGCCACCGCGCCCAGCCCAGAACCUGUUUUUUAAUUUAAAAUUCUUAUUUAAAAGUUCUGUACAUUUUGAGAAUUCUUAAAACCUUCACACAUUUAAUUUAAAUAGCAGCAGAGAUAUCUGGUUCCUGGUAAUGUGAACAGGAUGGCUUGAUACAAGCUCCCUGCUCACUGCAUUUCCUCACUUCCUAAAUUCCUAGGGAUGUACCUCCAGUGAAUAAUAGUUUUUACCACCUGUACAUAUACAGGGUCAGCGGCCAUGGCUCCUUGCUCACCCAUUAACUAAGAUCACAUCCUACAUACAGUACCAGACUUAGAGCCAGAGCCCUGGUCAUGGCCUCCUAGGUUCUCACACUUGACUUUUACUCAAUCAUUUCACCAUUUAGGCUUUAUAAAAAGGGGAGACUGGCCGGGCGCGGCGGCUCAUGCCUGUAAUCCCAGCACUUUGAGAGGCUGAGGGAGGUGGAUGACCUGAGGUCAGGAGUUUGAGACCACCCAACAUGGUGAAACCCUGUCUCUACUAAAAAUACAAAAAUUAGCCAGGUAUAGUGGCACAUGCCUGUAGUCCCAGCUACUCUGAGGCAGCUGAGGCAGGAGAAUCGCUUGAACCUGGGAGGCGGAGGUUGCAGUGAGCCGAGAUCAUGCCACUGUACUCCAGCCUGGGUGACACAGUGAAACUCCAUCUCAAAUAAAUAAAUAAAUAAAAUGGGGGAAUUAUAUGACUGUUAGGGUCCUCCAGAUCUGAUACCCAGGACUGUAAUCUAAAGACUUGAUUAUGUUCAUUAAUACAUGGCAAUUUCAUUCCUUUCCUAAGAAUUACUAUCCAAAGAUCAUCCCUAAGCCCUUCCUACAAGAAACUGCCCCUUUUACAGAAUGAAUA
Long non-coding RNA from Homo sapiens (human), 2105 nucleotides. Ensembl annotates it as ZNF652 antisense RNA 1. Its record names the gene ZNF652-AS1. The record is from Ensembl. NCBI's taxonomy places the organism in Eukaryota, Metazoa, Chordata, Mammalia, Primates, Hominidae.